This 280-nucleotide ribosomal RNA is filed under the name Dendrobaena attemsi. Its description in RNAcentral is "partial 12S ribosomal RNA". Lineage: Eukaryota; Metazoa; Annelida; Clitellata; Crassiclitellata; Lumbricidae. The record is from RNAcentral.
UGCCGUCGUAAGCACACCUCUAAAAGAUUAUAGUGUGCAAUUAUGAAUUACUCUCAUAUACGUCAGGUCAAAGUGCAGCUUAUAAAGAGGUGAUGGUAGGUUACACUCCACACACAGACACGAAAUAUAUUAUUAAAAAUUAUACAAAGGUGGACUUGAACGUAAUUAAAUUUUUAUAUUUAAAUGAAAAUGAAUCUAAGACAUGCACACAUCGCCCGUCACUCUCUCCCCAAGGAGAGAUAAGUCGUAACAAAGUAGGUGUAACGGAAGUUGCACCUGU